GCAAGAGAGGACGAUGCACCGAAGAAUCGGACGAAGCGCCAACCAAUGACGUGCCGGGCAACAGAAUGUCAAUUCGCGUUAUAAUAAUUGUCUAGAUCGGAGUAGAGUUUUGGUUUGUGUGUGCAGGAUUAACUACGAUAACGAUGAAGACAUAAAGCGAAACAAAGUGCUGGAGUCAAGCGCGAAGGAUUCGUUGGGAGUUCGAGAGUUCGACGGAAGUCCGAAGGUUCGUCGGGAAUGCUGCCGGAACUAGCCGAGAAUGAGUAGGGAGCUUGCCGAAGGGUUUUUCGGAAGCUCGCCGGAAGGUUCGUUGGAAGUUCGCGGAGCUC
RNAcentral lists this long non-coding RNA (329 nucleotides) under Musa acuminata (dwarf banana). RNAcentral's name for it is "long non-coding RNA (MACU_LNC011689)". Lineage: Eukaryota; Viridiplantae; Streptophyta; Magnoliopsida; Zingiberales; Musaceae. The record is from RNAcentral.